UACGUAGGGUGCAAGCGUUGUCCGGAAUUAUUGGGCGUAAAGAGCUCGUAGGCGGUUUGUUGCGUCGGCUGUGAAAUCCCGAGGCUCAACCUCGGGUCUGCAGUCGAUACGAGCAAACUAGAGUGUUGCAGGGGAGACUGGAAUUCCUGGUGUAGCGGUAAAAUGCGCAGAUAUCAGGAGGAACACCGGUGGCGAAGGCGGGUCUCUGGGCAACAACUGACGCUGAGGAGCGAAAGCGUGGGGAGCGAACAGG
This 253-nucleotide ribosomal RNA is filed under the name uncultured bacterium. RNAcentral describes it as "partial 16S ribosomal RNA". It matches the Rfam family "Bacterial small subunit ribosomal RNA", at positions 524 to 776 of the family's 1533-position model. The record is from RNAcentral.